AAUUAUCAAAAACCUUUUUCUGCUUUUGCUGAAAAAGGAUUUUUGGAUUUGGAGGUUCAAUGCUUGCCUUUCAUCUUGGAAAGUGAGCUCCUCUUAAAUGAAUUAGUGGGGGUCUGCUUUGCUGGUCCUUGACGUGAUAAGAUGUUUCUACGUUUUGGAUUUAGCACUGUCCCUUUGGAUGCCUGCUCCUAACUGUCCCAUGGACAACGAUGGUGCUCUGGUCUUUGCCGUCUACUUUGGCGGGAGAGGCUGGUCCCACAAAAGAAAACC
Molecule: unclassified non-coding RNA, 270 nt
Filed under: uncultured Russula
Lineage: Eukaryota; Fungi; Basidiomycota; Agaricomycetes; Russulales; Russulaceae
Description: sequence contains ITS2
Source: RNAcentral